AUUGAACGCUGGCGGCAGGCCUAACACAUGCAAGUCGAGCGGAUGAAGGGAGCUUGCGCCUGGAUUCAGCGGCGGACGGGUGAGUAAUGCCUAGGAAUCUGCCUGGUAGUGGGGGAUAACGUCCGGAAACGGGCGCUAAUAUCGCAUACGUCCUGAGGGAGAAAGUGGGGGAUCUUCGGACCUCACGCUAUCAGAUGAGCCUAGGUCGGAUUAGCUAGUUGGUGGGGUAACGGCCUACCAAGGCGACGAUCCGUAACUGGUCUGAGAGGAUGAUCAGUCACACUGGAACUGAGACACGGUCCAGACUCCUACGGGAGGCAGCAGUGGGGAAUAUUCGGCAAUGGGCGAAAGCCUGAUCCAGCCAUGCCGCGUGUGUGAAGAAGGUCUUCGGAUUGUAAAGCUCUUUAAGUUGGGAGGAAGGGCAGUGAGUUAAUCCCUUGCUGUUUUGACGUUACCAACAGAAUAAGCCCCGGCUAACUUCGUG
This 484-nucleotide ribosomal RNA is filed under the name uncultured bacterium. Its description in RNAcentral is "partial 16S ribosomal RNA". It matches the Rfam family "Bacterial small subunit ribosomal RNA", at positions 30 to 507 of the family's 1533-position model. The record is from RNAcentral.